Molecule: ribosomal RNA, 253 nt
Filed under: uncultured bacterium
Lineage: Bacteria
Description: partial 16S ribosomal RNA
Rfam family: Bacterial small subunit ribosomal RNA
Source: RNAcentral
UACGUAGGUGGCAAGCGUUGUCCGGAAUUAUUGGGCGUAAAGCGCGCGCAGGCGGUCCUUUAAGUCUGAUGUGAAAGCCCACGGCUCAACCGUGGAGGGUCAUUGGAAACUGGGGGACUUGAGUGCAGGAGAGAAGAGUGGAAUUCCUGGUGUAGCGGUGAAAUGCGCAGAUAUCAGGAAGAACACCCGUGGCGAAGGCGGCUCUCUGGGACGGUACUGACGCUGAGACGCGAAAGCGUGGGGAGCGAACAGG